AUCGCUCUGAAGCGGGGGUGGGGGGGAGAGGGUUUUGAUAUUUGAUAUGCGUCAGGCGUAGCUCAUAUAUCGCGUUUGAAAAUCGCACACCGAAAGGUUUUCGGGUAUCUCGAAGGGCCGUGGCAUGGAAAGCCCCGCUCUGCAGUUCCCAGGGGUCUUCAUCGCUGAGCCUUUGCCUCUGUAUAUACGGCGAAAGGGAUCCAGAGAGCACCGAGGCAGACGAAAGCCAGUUUAUCAAAAGAUCUAUCCAUUGCUCUCCGAUCUGAAGCUCGGGAACUUUCGUUUCUGUGCUUGGAAAAGCCGUUCGGACUUCCACGGGGACCCGUCCUUCGUUCUCCAGCGCUGGGUGAACGAAUCCUUAAUCUUGCAACCUUUUCGGUUCAAGUGGCCCGCUGCUGUCGGUUUCGACGGGAAGACUUUUCUUAAAGAGGCUCGUUAAAGUCAGCCAGUUCCGAUUUCAGAAAUACAAAGAAGGAAGUCGAUCGAUUGGGGCUUGGCAGCACCCAUCCUGUUUUUUAUGACAUUCAGCAAACUUGGAAGCCUUGCCUGCCCGUAAAUCCGAAGGAGAUACAAACAUACGCAGUUAUUAAAAACGUCGGCAUAACAGAACAGUAUCUGCCUUGUCCUCUAAUGAUGCGCAGAGGUCCCAGCGAGGCCAAGGAGUCGGGGGUCCUCACGUGAGCUGCCUGGCAAUGAGAGCCCCGGCGCGUCCCCCUCGCCGCGUGAUGGAUGACCUUCGCCUACCUGCCGGGUCUCUCUCUGGACAAACACGCAAGAGGGAUGGGAAAGAAGAGGCUCCUUUCUCCCGCCGGGCUGCCAGAAAUAGACGCAGCCGCCCGCUUCCCUCCCCUGCUGGAAUAUCUCUUGGGAAGUGAAAGCAGCUCUUUGUCAGCUCCAAAUCUGGAUGCAGAUGGACCUGGAAUGCCUGCCUACAGUAGAGUGAACGGGGUGUGAGCAGAGGAGCAACUGGCAGCACAUCAGCAAAAAAUGAGUCAGAAAAACUAUGCAGCGCUCAUUGAGAUCUCUGUUAUGAUGCUGGGCUAAAGAAGCAACUGAAAGCUAUCUUUUCUCUGUCUAAAGAGUGAAGUUGCUAUCUUUUCUGGCCUAUAGCUUUUCUCGGCUAUUCUAGUAUGGGAGUGGGUCCAGAAAAUGCGGAGUUGAUCUGGUGAUGUCAUGGCGUGAAGUACAGGUAGUCCUUGGUUAACAACAGUAAUUGGGAAUGGAAUUUCCAUCACUAAAUGAUGCG
Python bivittatus (Burmese python) is the source of this 1246-nucleotide non-coding RNA. The record is from RefSeq and is a predicted model, not a curated record. Lineage: Eukaryota; Metazoa; Chordata; Lepidosauria; Squamata; Pythonidae.